RNAcentral lists this ribosomal RNA (510 nucleotides) under uncultured bacterium. RNAcentral's name for it is "bacterial SSU rRNA". It matches the Rfam family "Bacterial small subunit ribosomal RNA", at positions 28 to 524 of the family's 1533-position model. The record is from RNAcentral.
GAUGAACGCUAGCGGCAGGCCUAACAUAUGCAAGUCGAGGGGCAUCAUGGCGUAGCAAUACGCUGAUGGCGACCGGCGCACGGGUGCGUAACGCGUAUGGAACCUACCCACCGCAGGGGGAUAACCCGCCGAAAGGCGGACUAAUACCCCAUGGUUCCCCGACCCUGCCUGGGGUUGGGGGUAAAGCCUACGGGCGGCGGUGGAUGGCCCUGCGUGCCAUUAGCUGGCUGGUGGGGUAACGGCCCACCAGGGCGACGAUGGCUAGGGGGUCUGAGAGGACGAUCCCCCACACUGGUACUGAGACACGGACCAGACUCCUACGGGAGGCAGCAGUGAGGAAUAUUGCGCAAUGGGGGAAACCCUGACGCAGCAACGCCGCGUGAGUGAGGAAGGACUUCGGUCUGUAAAGCUCUGUUAAUGUGGAAAAUGGUAGUUGGUCUAAUAGGCCGAUUAUUUGAUGGUACACAUAGAGGAAGCACCGGCUAACUUCGUGCCAGCAGCCGCGGUAAA